This 205-nucleotide long non-coding RNA is filed under the name Ananas comosus (pineapple). RNAcentral describes it as "long non-coding RNA (ACOM_LNC044313)". The record is from RNAcentral. Lineage: Eukaryota; Viridiplantae; Streptophyta; Magnoliopsida; Poales; Bromeliaceae.
GCAAUAUCCGAAUUUAUUUUCGGUGGAUGUGUAAGCAAGUAUUUGGGUCGAAACUUUUUUAAGGUGGGGAUAAUGUGAGGACUGAGAAUUUUGCUGUGUAGCUAAACUCUCUGUUGAUGAUAUUUUUGUGUGUAUUUUAAUUACAUAAUCACUCAUUAAGUUUCGGAAGAAAACGAGUUAGGAUGGAGAUUUUAUGCGAUAUUUA